Equus caballus (horse) is the source of this 2615-nucleotide long non-coding RNA. The record is from Ensembl. Lineage: Eukaryota; Metazoa; Chordata; Mammalia; Perissodactyla; Equidae.
CAUCAGGAGUUUCUUAUUAAGAGGCAUGUGUUCAAGGCUUUAUGAGCUAACACCAGUAGAGAGCAGACCACACUAGUGAGGAGGUGUGGAGAGGGGCGGCAGGGGGCCAAGGACGGCUUUGCUUCUCAACAGCUGUGCGGAAGACUGAACUUCGGUAUUGCAACUGGCAGAAGGGGACAUCCUGCUUCCAGAUGCACUGACAGCUUUCGUUCCACACUACCUUUUCCAAGAUGAUCGUCUGAUGAACAGCCUUGGAAGAUAGACAUAGUGUUUUCCUCUGGAGCGGAAGCUGGAGAUGCGGAAGUUCUGAAGAGUCGUUACGUGACCUGCCUGCACUGCACAGAUUGUCAAGCACCUGGCACAGGACUUGAACUUGGUCUUCCCGGUCUAAAUCCUAAGCUUAUUCCACCUACUGUCUUCCUCUCAGGUCCUUCCUACCUCCAUAUGCUCUCCUUUUCCCCAGACCUGAGCCCCCAGGAGAGUACUUUACAGCGGCCUGUCUUGCAUCAAUACAUUUCCACUGUACGCGAGGAGCUAGUCUGUGCAGUUGACACCACUGUUUGACUUGAAUCCAUGACUUACCUUUAGGAGCCGUGUUUGGACACUUGAAGCAUCUUCCAGAGGGGAGGAGGACUUUUUUUGUUCAGGAAGCCUUUUCUUAGGUAGAAAGUGAUGCUUUCACCUAAACAGGAGGUUGGUCCUGGACUGAAGGAACUUGAGUUAUUCAGAGCUGCUGUUGCUCUGGAAAGAUUUAUUUUUAGUAUUUUUUUUAAACUUGAAGUAAAUGAAGAGAAUCCUGCAAUAUGUAUAGUGGGAUUUAGGGAGUGGGACACGGGUGGAGGCCCCUCCGGAAAUGUUCCUGCCUCCCUCCCAUCCCCAGGUCUCCAGGCGCCAGCUCUUUCUGAUCUGCUCCUUGCUGUCUGGUUGAUUCUCCCUGUCUCUCAGGAGGCUGAGCUGCUCCCUGGCCAGGAAAUGUUGAGCUUUGCAAGGCUGCGCCAGACCCUCCUGUCUCCUCACUCUAUUCUCUUCCUAGAGCACUGCAUUCACACCCACAGCUCUCAUUACCACCUCUGCAUAAGAGAGUCCCAACCUUCCUUCUUCCCAUCAUGCUUGGCUUUUCACUUGAUGCUUACUUGAUAUCUUCUCUUGGAUCUCUUGAAGGAAACUUGUGCUCAACUUGUCCAAACAGAUUUUCACUCCCCAAACCUGUUGUUCAUCUGGUGUUUUCUGUCUUAGGGAGUAUCACCACUGUCUAUCCUAUUACGAGUCAGGAAAUGGGGAAUUCACUGUUCAUCUCCACCCUACAUCUAGCUCAGCACCAUUUCAACUCCUAAAUAGCUCUGGUCUGUGCACAGUUCUCUCUAUAUCUACCACUACCACCCUAAUCCAAGCUACUCUAGGCACCGCCUUCCCCCUGCUCCCCAUUCACCACGUGGCAGCCAGACUGGUCCUUUCAGAAGGCAGAUCUGCUCAUGUGACCCCAUGGCUUAAUACUUUCGUUUCUUAUUUAGAAUAAGGAUGGAAUUCCUUGACUUGACCUACAGAGCCAUGUUGAGUGUGGCCUCUUCUAUCCUCUGUAGCCUCAUCUUAAACUACACUCGCCCCUGCUCUCUCCCCUCCAGCCAGGUUGGUCUUUUUUCUGCUCGUCACAUCAUAGGCUCUUUUCACACUCUUCCCUCUGUCUGGAACCCUCUUUCGCUUUUUCUUUGAUUGGUUGAACCAUAUUCAUCUUGUACUUCUCAAUUUCUGGUCACUGCUCAGGCACAUCUUUCCCAGCUUGGUUGAAUUCCUUUCUUACAAACUCUAUAACACCGUACUGCCACUUUGUAGUCCUUCUUAUACUUAUAAUUUUAAAUUUGUAUUCAUGUGAUUAUUAAUCUUUCUCCUCCACUAGCCUGUGACUUUCAUGAGCACAGGCACCCUACUAAUUUUACCUCCACCACUAGUAUAGUAGUUGACGUUGUAGAUUGUAGACUGUAGUAGAGGUCUUCCUACCAGGAGAAGACAGAGGAUACUAAUUUCCCCUACAAGUUUUGAGGGUAUGGUAGUGUCAAUCCUAGAUAGCUCAGUUGGAGUAAUUGACCUGAAUUGCCAUUGCUACCAUCACUACCACCUCUACCACCAUCACUACCACCACUACCACCACCUCCAUCACUACCAUCACCAUCACCACCACCACCACCUCCACCAUCACCAUCAGCACUAUCACCACUACCACCAUCCCCACCACCAUCAUCACUACCACCAUCACCAUGACCUCCGUUACUACCAUCACCAUCACCACCAUCACCAUGACCUCUACCACCAUCAUCACCACUGCCACCAUUACCACUACCUCCAUUACAACCAUCACCAUCACCACCACCUCUACCACCACCAUCACCACAACCUCCAUCACUACCUUCAUCAUUACCACCAUCUCCACUAGCAACAUUGUCAUCAUUAUUAUCAUUAUCAUCUGGUAACCUUAUCCCUGAUGUCACAGUAAGACUAGUCGGUAUUUUCCUAUUGUGGGACAUAACAAGUUGUUUAUUGGUUUCUUUGGAACUUCUAGAGUUCUGAUGAAAUUGCCUCAGAUAUUGAUAUUAUGUUGUUAGUUCACCUUUUUAACUAAA